Molecule: ribosomal RNA, 409 nt
Filed under: uncultured eukaryote
Lineage: Eukaryota
Description: bacterial SSU rRNA
Rfam family: Eukaryotic small subunit ribosomal RNA
Source: RNAcentral
GUCUGGUGCCAGCAGCCGCGGUAAUUCCAGCUCUGAUAGCGUAUAUUAAAGUUGUUGCAGUUAAAAAGCUCGUAGUUGGAUUUUAGAGUAUAUUGAUAUGGUCUCUUGUGAUAAACUUGUUGUACUGUAUUAAUUACUCUUUCCUACUGGUUACUCGACUCUGUUCUUUAUUGCAUGGAGUAGUGUCGCAAGGCAUCGCUUAGUAUUUUAUUGCUUUUAGAUGUAGUAAUUGGGUAAAACUGGUUAUGAAACCUAAGGGAUCACAGUAAAGUAUUAAGUGGGGUUCCAGUUCAUUUACUUUGAGUAAAUUAGAGUGUUCAAAGCAGCCUGUAUGGGCAUUGAAUAGAUUAGCAUGGGAUAAUAGAAUAGGAUUCUUACCUAUUUAUUGGUUUAUAGGUUUAGAAUAAUG